Molecule: transfer RNA, 41 nt
Filed under: Polygonatum hunanense
Lineage: Eukaryota; Viridiplantae; Streptophyta; Magnoliopsida; Asparagales; Asparagaceae
Description: partial tRNA-His
Source: RNAcentral
GGCGGAUGUAGCCAAGUGGAUCAAGGCAGUGGAUUGGAUAC